UGGUCUUGGGGACAGGAGAGUCAGCCAGGCACGGUCACACCUGCUGAGGCUUUUCCACUUCAGCAUCUGUGGGGAGGACAUUUGUUCCCUCCGGCAGAAGACUAUUGUCGGCCUUCCUGUGUCCAGGAAGAGUGAGAUGAAGUGACAGGCGGAAGAAGAGAGCGUCCGUGGCUAGCGAAGGACGAGGCAUGUGAUUGUGUCUGCGUUGCUGACCUGGCAGCUGUCCCUGCAGCCCCGUAUUGCAGGGGGGAAGCGGGGCAGCCUGGUGAGGGGGAGCAGGGAAACUGGGUGCGAAGAGGUGGGGCUGGAGGUCUGAACACCUAAGCAGCACGGCCACUAUGUGCCCUCUGAUUCUCAAUGGGAUCACCCUUGCAGGGGGGACAGUGGCUGUGCAGGGAGGGAGGAAAAGGGGUAUUAUUGGCUUCCUCCCGGGUCUCCCUUCCUGGCUAUUUUCCCUUCCUCUCUUUGCCUCCUCUGUAUUUGCAUCCUAGACCACAGCCCCCAAACGGCCUGCUCUGGAAUUCAUCGCCUGCCUAUGGACAGCCAUCCCAGGACACGCCUGAUUUAUCAUUCUUCUGCCCCUCAGCCAAGACCACCCCAGCCCCUCCCCAGGAGGCCCCUGAGGCUUCCAGCUGUCCUUAACCUUCUCCAGCCCUCUCUACCCCUGCCCCCCACCACCACCCAGCACACACACACAUUCCCAGGGAAUUAAUAAAAAUGUAUUAACUUCAGUCUCUAGCCUGUGGACCUUCCCUUGUUUGUGGAUGAGGUCUUUGAAAGCACUGUGGAGGCCUGCCCUGAACUAAGCUGUGUUCAGCCUGACCAUUCAGUCACACCCGAAGGCCACAACUCAGUAGACAACCGGAAAACAAGGGCAAGUGAUGAUCAUUAGUGUUUAAUAUUAAAUGCCUGGUGAGUGCCGAGUUGGAACAGAAGAGUGAACGGCUGAGGAAUACUGACAGAGCUCUCAGGGAAGAAAAUAUGCUUCUCAAGGAUUGGCUGAAGACGUAUAGCAUAGGACAACAAAACAGUAAAUAGCAUGCUAGCAAAGCCACUGGAUAAAUUAAAGCUGUGUACUCGCCGGGCCAGCUGUGAUGCUGUAAUUUGCCAAGGCUUUGAAGAUCUUCUACCAAAGCAUGAACAAAGUGAAGGGGCAGUUCCUGAAGAUGAGACACAUGCACCUGAGGAUGACAACCAGUUGCAUCUUUUAAUGAAAGACAGGCACAAAUGCUCAAGGACUUUGAGGAACUACUAGACUCCGGUCCCUGGAAGCUGCAAAAUGAUGUUGCUCUUAUAAUUCAAAAGAAGAGAGAAAAUUCAGUGCCCAGCAAAUGUUCAGGCUCUACUUUCCUAGAACAUCACUGAAGGUUAUUAAGCAAAUUAUUUUGUAUAGUUCAAAAACAUUUUCAAGACCCCUCACCUUCUCUUUGUAUACCUGUCACACUGAAUUGGGAACUUCAAAGUUCUGUAAAGACAAUGAAUUUUAAGACUUA
Molecule: long non-coding RNA, 1493 nt
Organism: Tachyglossus aculeatus (Australian echidna)
Lineage: Eukaryota; Metazoa; Chordata; Mammalia; Monotremata; Tachyglossidae
Exons: 5
Source: RefSeq, a predicted model, not a curated record